RNAcentral lists this long non-coding RNA (5267 nucleotides) under Sarcophilus harrisii (Tasmanian devil). Its description in RNAcentral is "lncRNA (ENSSHAG00000032296.1)". The record is from RNAcentral. Lineage: Eukaryota; Metazoa; Chordata; Mammalia; Dasyuromorphia; Dasyuridae.
AAGAGAGAGAGGGGGACACAGACAGUAGAAAAGAGAGUGAGACAAAUAGUGGAAAAGAGAGAGAGAUAAAUACAAUGGAAAAGAGAGAGAGAGACACAGAUAGUGGAGAAGACAGAGAGAGAAAUAGACCAUGGAGGAGAGAGAGAGAGAGAGAGAGAGAGAGAGAGAGAGAGAGAGAGAGAGAGAGAGAGAGAGAGAAAUAGACAGUGGAGAAGAGAGAGAGGGAGAAAGAGAGGAGAAUAGAGAGAGGGAGAAAGAGACAGAAGAGAGAGAGAAAGAGAAAGAGUGGAGAAGAGAGAGAGAGAGAAAUAGUGGAGAAGAGAGAGAGAGAGAAAUAGACAGUGGAAAAGAGAGAGAGAGAGAGAGAGAGAGAGAGAGAGAGAGAGAAAUAUACAGUGGAGGAGAGAGAGAGACACAGACAGUUGAAAAGAGAGUGACAAAUAUAGACAGUGGAAAAGAGAGUGAGAGAGAAAAAAGAAAUAGUGCAGAAUAGAGAGAAAGAAAUAGACAGUGGAAAAUAGAGAGAUUAGAGAAAUAGGCAGUAGAGAAGAGAGAGAGAGAAAUAUACAGUCCAGAAGAGAGAUAGAGAUACAGACAGUGGAAAACAGAGAGAGAGGAAGAAAUAGACAGUGGGGAAGAGAGAGAAAGAAACAAACAGUGGAUAGGAGAGAGGUAGAAAUAGACAGUGGAGAAGGGAGCGAGAGAGACAAUGAAAAAUAGAAAGAAAGAAAUAGACAGUGAAGAAAACAGAGAGAGAGAAAAAUAUACAGUGGAGAAGCAAGAGAGAGAGAGAGGCAGUGGAGGAGAGAGAGAGAAAUAGACAGUGGAGGAGAGAGAGACACACACAUGCAGUGGAGAAGUGUGAAAAAGAGAAAUAGACAGUGGAGAAGAGUGAGAGAGAGAAGAUAGUGGAGAAGAGUGAGAGAGAGAAAUAGACAGUGGAGAAGAGAGUGAGAGAAAUACACACACUGGAGAAGAGAGAGAGAGAAAUAGCAGAGAAGAGAGAGAGAGAGAGAGACACAGACAGUAGAGAAGACAGAGAGAGAAAUGGAAAGUGGAGAAGAGAGAGAGAAACACAGUGGAGAAGAGUGAGAGAGAAGUAGGCAGUGGAGAAGAGAAAGAAAUACACAGUGUAGAAGAAAGGGAGGGAGAGAGAGUGAAAUAGACGGUGGAGAAGAGAGACAGAGAGAAAUAGACAGUGGAGAAGAGAGAGAGAAAUAGAUAGGGUAGAAGGGAGAGAGAGAAAUAGACAGAGAAGAGAGAAAGACAUGCAUUGGAGAAGAGAGAGUGAGAAAUAGACAGUGAAGAAGAGAGAGACACAGAGAGGGGAGAAUAGGGAGAGAGAGAAAUAGAUAGUAGAGAAGAGAGAGAGAGAAAUAGACAGUAGAGAAGAGAUAGAGAGAAAUAGACAGUGGAGAAGAGAGAGAGUGAAAUAGACAGUGGAGAAGAAAGGGAGGGAGAGAGAGAGAAAUACACACUGGAGAAGAGAGACAGAGAGAAAUAGACAGGGGAGAAGAGAGAGAGAAAGGAUAGUGGAGAAGAGAGAGAGAGAAAUGGACAGUGAAGAAGAGAGAGAGAGAAAUAGACAGGGGAGAAGAGAGCAAGACAGAAAUAGACAGUGGAGAAAAGAGAGAGAGUGAAAUAGACAGUGGAGAAGAGGGAGAGAGAGAGAGAGAGAGAGACAGUGGAGGAGAGAGAGAAAUAGACAGUGCAGAAGAGAGAGAGAGAGAGAAAUGAACAGUGGAGAAGAGCAAGAGUAGGACAGACAAAAAAGAAUAGAGAGAGAGAAAUAGACAGUGGAAAAUAGAGAGAUAGAGAAAUAGGCAGUAGAGAAGAGAGAGAGAGAAAUAUACAGUCGAGAAGAGAGAUAGAGAUACAGACAGUGGAAAACAGAGAGAGAGGGAGAAAUAGACAGUGGAGAAGAGAGAGAAAGAAACAAACAGUGGAUAGGAGAGAGGGAGAAAUAGACAGUGGAGAAGGGAGCGAGAGAGACAGUGGAAAAUAGAAAGAGAGAAAUAGACAGUGAAGAAAACAGAGAGAGAGAGAGAAAUAUACAGUGGAGAAGAGAGAGAGAGAGAGAGGAGGAGGAGAGAGAGAGAAAUAGACAGUGGAGGAGAGAGAGACAAGGCACAAGGAGUGAGAAGUGUGAAAAGAGAAACAGAUGUGGAGAAGAGUGAGAGAGAGAAAUAGUGGAGAAGAGUGAGAGAGAGAAAUAGACAGUGGAGAAGAGAGUGAGAGAAAUACACACACUGGAGAAGAGAGAGAGAGAAAUAGCAGAGAAGAGAGAGAGAGAGAGAGACACAGACAGUAGAGAAGACAGAGAGAGAAAUGGAAAGUGGAGAAGAGAGAGAGAAACACAGUGGAGAAGAGUGAGAGAGAAGUAGGCAGUGGAGAAGAGAAAUAAAAAGAAAUGCACAGUGUAGAAGAAAGGGAGGGAGAGAGAAUGAAAUAGAUGGUGUAGAAGAGAGACAGAGAGAAAUAGAAAGUGGAAAAGGGAGAGAGAGAGAAAUAGACAUUGAAGAAGAUAGAGAGUGGGACAGACAGUGUUGAAACAGAAGAGAGAAAUAGACAGAGAAGAGAGAAAGACACAUACAGUGGAAAAGAGAGAGUGAGAAAUAGACAGUGAAGAAGAGAGAAAGAGAGACACAGACAAUGGACAAUAGAGAGAGAGAGACAAAAACGGGGGAGAAUAGAGAGAGAGAGAAAUAGAUAGUGGACAAGAGAGAAAGGGAGACAAAGAAAAGAAGAGAGAGAGAGAGAGAAAUAGACAGUGGAGGAGAGAGAGAGAAAUAGACAGUGGAGAAGAGGGAGAGAGAGACACAGACAAUGGACAAUAGAGAGAGAGAGACAAAGACAAUGGACAAUAGAGAGAGAGAGACAAAAACGGGGGAGAAUAGAGAGACAGAGAAAUAGAUAGUGGACAAGAGAGAAAGGGAGACAAAUAGACAGUGGAAGAGAGAGAGAGAGAAAUAGACAGUGGAGAAGAGAGAGAGAGAGAGAGAAAAUAGACAAGAGAGAGAGAGAGAAAUAGACAGUGGAAAAGAGAGAGAGAGACUCAGACAGUGAAGAAGAGAGAGAGACACAGACAGUGGGAAAGAGAGAGAGAAAUGGUGGAGAAGAGAGAGAAACAGAGAGUGAAGAAGAGAGAGAGACAGACAGUAGAAAAGAGACAGAGAGAGAAAUAGAUUGUGGGGAAGAGAGAGAGUGACAGAGAGUGUAGAGGGGAGAGAGAGAGAUACAGACAGUGGAAAAGAGAAAGAGAGAAAUAGUGGAGAAGAGAGAGAUAAAAAAAUAGACUGGAAAAGAGAGAGAGAGAGAGAGAGACAGAGACAGUGGAGAAGAGGGAUAGAGAUAGAAAUAGACAGUGGAGAAGAGAGAACAAGACAGACAGUGGAGAGGAGGAGAGAAAUUGACAGUUGAGAAGAGAGAAAGAGACACAGACAGUGGAAAAAAUAGAGAGAAACAGAUAUGGAUAGAGAGAGAGAGAACAGAUAUGAGAAGAGAGAGAGAGAUGGAAAUAGACAGUGGAGAAGAGAGAAAGAGACAGACAGUGGAGAGGAGAAUGAGAGAAAUUGUGCUGAGAAGAGAGAAAGAGACACAGACAGUGGAAAAAAUAGAGAGAGAAAUAGACCAUGGAUAGAGAGAGAGAGAGAAACAGAUAGUGGAGAAGCGUGAGAGAGAGAAAUAGUGGAGAAGAGAGAGAUAGAAAUAGACAGUGGAGGAGAGAGAGAGAGGAUGAAGUAGAGGAAGAGAGCACGAGAAAAUGGAGUGGAAAAGACAGAGAAAGAGAGAAGCAGAAGAGAGAAAGAAGGAACGAGAGAGAAAUAGAACCUGGUAAAGAGAGAGAGGGAGAAAAUGAGAACGGGAGAUUAAAAAAGAGUACAAGGAGUGGAAGAGACAGAAAGAUAAAGGGAAAAAUGAGGAAAAGAGAGAGGGAGAAGGAGAAAGAGAGGGAGAAGACAGGAAGAGAGGGGACAAGAGAGGAAGAAAGAGAGACAAAAGUAGAGAGUAAAAGAGGGGGCGAGGGAAGUGAAGAGAGAGGGGAAAAAGAGAGGCAGAAGGAGAAGAAGAAGCAGGAGCGGGGGAGAAGAGAGUUGAAGAGAGAGAAGAAAAGAGAAAAAGAGAUGGAGAAAGAGAGGGGGAGAGAGAAGAGGAAAGAGAGGAAGAGACAGAGAGGAGGGAAGAGAUAGAGGAAGAGAGAAAAAAAUAGACAAAGAAAGAGAGGGGGGAGGGAACAAGAGUGGGAGAGAAGGGGAAAAAGGAGAGAGAGCGGUGGGAGAGGGAAAAAAAGAGAAAGUCAAGAGUGGAUGAGAGGGAGAGAGACACACAGGGGAGAGAGAGACAAAGGGAAAGAAGGAGUUGGAGAGAGAAAAAAGAGAAGUAAGAGAGAAAAAGGAAGAGCGAGAGGAGAGAGAGGAAAAGCGGUGGAAAGAGAGAGAGGAAGAAAGUGAGGAGGAAAGAGAAAAAUAGAGCGGAAGAGAGAGAAAGAAAAGAGAGGGCGAGAGAGGGAGAAAAAGAGGAGGAGAGAAAUGUAGACAGGAGGAGAGAGGAAGAGAGUGGAAUAGAGAGAGAAAGAGAGGAGGAGAAAAAUGAUGAGAGGAGGACAGAAAGAGUGAGAGAGAGAGAAAUAAAGUGGAAGAGACAGAGACAGUGGAAGAUAGGAAGAGACAAUGAGAGAAAGAGAGAAGAAAAAAUAGAGUGGAAAAGAGAGAGAGAGAGAGAGAGGGAGAGAGGAAAAAAGAGAAAGAGGGAGAGAGAAAAAAGAGUGGAAGACAGAGGGGAAGAGGAGGAAAAAGGAAAAGAGAGAGCAAAAGAAAGCAAGAAAAGGGAGAGAGGUGGGGAGAAAGAGGGAGAAGAGAGGAAAAGCGAGGAAGAGAGAGAAAAAGAACAAGAGAGAGAGGAGAUUGGGAGAAAAAGAGAAGAAGAGAGAGUGAGAAAAAGAGAGAGGAAGAGAGACAGAGAAAAAGAGAGGAGGAGAGGUAAAGAGAGAGGGGGAUAGAGAGUAAGAGAGAAAAAGGGAAAAGAGAGUGGAAGAGAGAGAGGGAGGAAAGAAAAAAAAGAAGAGAGGAAGAGAGAGAAAAAGAAGAAGAGAGAGAUAAAAAUAGAGUGGAAGUAAAAGAAAAAUAGAGAGUGGAAGAAAGAGGAGAAGAGAGAAAACAGAGGAAGAGAGAGAGAAAAAGAGGAAAGAGAGGAAGAGAGAGAAAUAGAGAGUAGAAGAGAGCGGGAGAGAGGGAGAGAGAGGAAGAGAGAAAAAAUAAAGAGUAGAA